GUGAUCACAUUUUGUUCAUCUUUAAGUAUUUACCAUCAAUAUCAGACCUGGCAUAAAGUCUAUGCUCACUACCAAUUUGUUAUAUGAGUGGAGAUAAUGUAUGAAUGUAAGAUUAGUGGUAUGUAUCAGUGGGAUAUAGCUCUUAAAACCAGAAUGAUUUUGAUUUAUGAGUGAAAUGGGUACUUAAGAGGGGUGAAGAGAAAAAAUAUCUAUCUAUUAAACAAUAUCGAUGAGGUUAACUUCCAAAGAUUAACUUUGUCUGCAUAACAAUUUUGCAAGGGUAAUAUGAUAGUGUGAUCCUCACUUAUAAGGUACUCUGAAGAAAAUAAAUAUUACAGGGAAGGGGAUGUUUCCUGUGUUCAAAAAUGGUCAAUAAUUACUGGAUACUCUGGUACAUGAAGAUUCACAAUGUAUUUUAUUAUGUUAAGGGCUUUGAGGAGUUCUCCUGCAAAUAAACCUAUUUAGUCUUAUUUAUCCUAGUGUUUAACCUGUCUUUGUGGAUUAAUUUGACCACAGGAUCACUUUCGUGUAUGUGAGUUACCUAUUAACCUCCCAAGGAAAGCACUUGGGAACUGUUACGAGACUAGGAAUUCUGAACUGAGCAUCAAGAGCUCUGGGUUCUACUCCUGACUCAUAAUUAGUGACCUCAUGACCUUGGGCACAAAUUCUUGGUUUCCCUAUCUCUAAGAAUGAGUUGUUAGUACUAGAUUGCCUUUCAACUUUAUUACUUUAUUUAUUACUGUUAUGCUUUAUCAUCCAUGGAAUUGGGGGCUAGCUCCAGGAGUAUCACAGGAGGAAUGGAUGGUCACUGUUGAAAAAGCAGAGAAGUAUACUGGGUGGCUGCCAGAGGAACCAUUUCACCAGCCAGCCACUUUUGUUCUUCCCUGCCCUAUGCAUCCUACUCCUGUACAUAUAUUCUGUUUCCCAAUAGUCCAAAUAACUAGAGAGAAAUGCCAUAGACUCAAUGUCCCCCAUUUAAGGUUAACAUGAAAAUGAUUGAG
Leopardus geoffroyi (Geoffroy's cat) is the source of this 1001-nucleotide long non-coding RNA. RefSeq lists it as uncharacterized. The record is from RefSeq and is a predicted model, not a curated record. NCBI's taxonomy places the organism in Eukaryota, Metazoa, Chordata, Mammalia, Carnivora, Felidae. The transcript is spliced from 2 exons.